CCUACGGGAGGCAGCAGUAGGGAAUCUUCCACAAUGGGCGAAAGCCUGAUGGAGCAACGCCGCGUGGGUGAAGAUGGUCUUCGGAUCGUAAAACCCUGUUGUUAGAGAAGAAAGUGCGUGAGAGUAACUGUUCACGUUUCGACGGUAUCUAACCAGAAAGCCACGGCUAACUACGUGACAGCAGCCGCGGUAAUACGUAGGUGGCAAGCGUUAUCCGGAUUUAUUGGGCGUAAAGGGAACGCAGGCGGUCUUUUAAGUCUGAUGUGAAAGCCUUCGGCUUAACCGGAGUAGUGCAUUGGAAACUGGGAGACUUGAGUGCAGAAGAGGAGAGUGGAACUCCAUGUGUAGCGGUGAAAUGCGUAGAUAUAUGGAAGAACACCAGUGGCGAAAGCGGCUCUCUGGUCUGUAACUGACGCUGAGGUUCGAAAGCGUGGGUAGCAAACAGGAUUAGAUACCCGGGUAGUC
Molecule: ribosomal RNA, 465 nt
Filed under: uncultured bacterium
Lineage: Bacteria
Description: partial 16S ribosomal RNA
Rfam family: Bacterial small subunit ribosomal RNA
Source: RNAcentral